RNAcentral lists this ribosomal RNA (952 nucleotides) under uncultured fungus. RNAcentral's name for it is "eukaryotic LSU rRNA". The stretch from base 612 to 952 matches the Rfam family "Eukaryotic large subunit ribosomal RNA", at positions 1 to 335 of the family's 3401-position model. The record is from RNAcentral. Lineage: Eukaryota; Fungi.
GGAAGGAUCAUUAUUGAAUGAAAUUGGUGUGGUUGUUGCUGGCCCUCCUGGGCAUGUGCACGCCUGCCAUCCUCAUCUCUUCACCUGUGCACCUUUUGUAGGCUUGGAUAGACAUUUUUCCGAGGCAACUCGGUCGGGAGGAAUGCUGCGCGCAAGCCGGCUUUCCUUGCGUUUUUCCAGGUCUAUGUUUUUUUCAUAUACCCAGUAGUAUGUAACAGAAUGUAUCAUUGGGCGCUUGCGCCUAUAAAGUUUAUACAACUUUCAGCAACGGAUCUCUUGGCUCUCGCAUCGAUGAAGAACGCAGCGAAAUGCGAUAAGUAAUGUGAAUUGCAGAAUUCAGUGAAUCAUCGAAUCUUUGAACGCACCUUGCGCUCCUUGGUAUUCCGAGGAGCAUGCCUGUUUGAGUGUCAUUAAAUUUCUCAACCUUUAUUAGCUUUUGCUGAUGAAUGGCUUGGAUGUGGGGGUUCUUUUGCUGGCUCAGGUCGGCUCCCCUUAAAUGCAUUAGCUGGUGUACCCUGUGGUGGACUUGGUGUGAUAAUUAUCUACGCCAUGUAUUGUCUGCAACGCACUGCUUCUAACCGUCUGUUCAUUCGGACAAUUAAAUGACAAUUUGACCUCAAAUCAGGUAGGACUACCCGCUGAACUUAAGCAUAUCAAUAAGCGGAGGAAAAGAAACUAACAAGGAUUCCCCUAGUAACUGCGAGUGAAGCGGGAAAAGCUCAAAUUUAAAAUCUGGCGGUCUUUGGCCGUCCGAGUUGUAAUCUAGAGAAGUGUUAUCCGCGCUGGACCGUGUACAAGUCUCCUGGAAUGGAGCGUCAUAGAGGGUGAGAAUCCCGUCUUUGACACGGACUGCCAGGGCUUUGUGAUGCGCUCUCAAAGAGUCGAGUUGUUUGGGAAUGCAGCUCAAAAUGGGUGGUAAAUUCCAUCUAAAGCUAAAUAUUGGCGAGAGACC